AAGUUGUUGCGGUUAAAAGCUCGUAGUUCGAGCUCAGUUCCGGACUGGCCGGGGAGGUCACCGCCCGGUGCUUCCCCGUCAGGCUCCGAACAGCCUUCGUGAGCGGAGGCCAAGCCGGUUCUGCCGGGGUGCUCUUUACCGAGUGUCCCGCGCUGCCGGCCAGUUCACCUUGAAUAAAUGAGAGUGCUCAAAGCAGGCUCAUUAUAAAUACAAUGCCCGAAUGUUACCUGCAUGGAAUGAUGGAAGAUGAUCUCGGUUCCAUUUUAUUGGUGGUGGGAGCCCGAGGUAAUGAUAAACAGGGACUGUCGGGGGCAUCCGUACUACGACGCGAGAGGUGAAAUUCAGUGACCGUCGUAGGACGAACAACAGCGAAAGCAUUUGCCAAGAAUGUCUUCGUUGAUCAAGAACGAAAGUUAGAGGAUCGAAGGCGAUCAGAUACCGCCCUAGUUCUAACCCUAAACGAUGCUGACUAGCAAUUCGCCGUCGUUAUUCCCAUGACGUGGCGAGACGCCCCCGGGAAACCUUAAGUCUUUGAGUUCCGGGGGUAGUAUGGUUGCAAAACUGAAACUUAAAGGAAUUGACGGAAGGGCACCACCAGGAGUGGAGCCUGCGGCUUAAUUUGACUCAACACGGGAAACCUCACCAGGCCCGGACACCAGAAGGAUUGACAGAUUAAGAGCUCUUUCUCGAUUUGGUGGGUGGUGGUGCAUGGCCGUUCUUAGUUGGUGGAGUGAUUUGUCUGGUUAAUUCCGGUAACGAACGAGACUCUGGCCUACUAAAUAGUCGACGGGCGUUUUGGUGCAUGGGCCCCGUUCGACACAGUCUUCUUAGAGGGAUGAGCAGCGAGUAUAGCUGCAGGAGAUUGAGCAAUAACAGGUCUGUGAUGCCCUUAGAUGUCCUGGGCCGCACGCGCGCUACACUGAAUGGGUUAGCGGGUUGUCCUUCUCCGAGAGGAGCGGGAAAUCGCUUGAAAACCAUUCGUGAUAGGGAUUGGGGCUUGCAAUUGUUUCCCAUGAACGAGGAAUUCCCAGUAAGCACAAGUCAUCAGCUUGUGUUGAUUAAGUCCCUGCCCUUUGUACACACCGCCCGUCGCUACUACCGAUUGAAUGAUUUAGUGAGGCCUUCGGACUGGCGGUCUUGGACUGGGGCGCCGGCGUUCUCCAGCAAUGGGGUGCCGGUGACCCGCCUAGACGGGCCGGAAAGAUGUCCAAACUUGAUCAUUUAGAGGAAGUAAAAGUCGUAACAAGGUUUCCUAGG
Molecule: ribosomal RNA, 1257 nt
Filed under: Cuapetes americanus
Lineage: Eukaryota; Metazoa; Arthropoda; Malacostraca; Decapoda; Palaemonidae
Description: SSU rRNA
Rfam family: Eukaryotic small subunit ribosomal RNA
Source: RNAcentral